This 469-nucleotide ribosomal RNA is filed under the name uncultured bacterium. Its description in RNAcentral is "partial 16S ribosomal RNA". It matches the Rfam family "Bacterial small subunit ribosomal RNA", at positions 28 to 507 of the family's 1533-position model. The record is from RNAcentral.
GAUGAACGCUGGCGGCGUGCUUAACACAUGCAAGUCGAACGAUGAAGCUGGAGCUUGCUCUGGUGGAUUAGUGGCGAACGGGUGAGUAACACGUGAGCAACCUGCCCCUGACUCUGGGAUAACAGCAGGAAACGGCUGCUAAUACAGGAUAUGAUACAUGAACGCAUGUUAAGUGGUGGGAAAGAUGAUUUGGUUGGGGAUGGUCAGGCGGCCUAGCAGCUUGUUGGUGAGGUAAUGGAUGACCACGUAGGCGACGGGUAGGCGACGUUGGAGGGGGACCGGCCACACGGGGACUAAGAGACGGCCCAGACUCCUACGUUAGGCAGCAGUGGGGAAUAUUGCACAAUGGUCGAGAGCCUGAUGCAGCGGCGCCGCGUUUGGGAUGACGUCUUUCUGGUUGUGAACCUCUUUAAGCUGAGAAGAAGCGAUAGUGACGGUACCUGCAGAAAAAGCGCCGGCUAACUACGUG